UAAUUCCAUCUAUCCACAUUUAUCCAUCCACCCACCCAAGUUAAUGGAUGUAAAUUUAAAAGAUAAAGAGAGAUAAGUCAUAGGAAGAGAUUGGCAGCAUUAGGGAAUUAUAAAAACAGUAGACUACAGGAGUUCUUUUGCUUCCUGUGUCCUAAUCCACAUCCAUGAGAAUAUUUAUGAGUACAAAAACUACAUACUAAUAGGGCUAAAAUAAGAUGAGAUGCAAAGGAACAUCAGUGCAAACAUGGUGUUUCAUCUAUUUUUUCAUUUCCUCAUAUUUCAGACAUUAUUCGCAUUUGUUUAGAGAAAUGAUGGCUACAGACUGCAAGAUGCCUUACUCAGAGGAGAGAGAGGGACCAGUGUUGUAUGCUUGAGAUGGACUAAUUAUUUCUGCUGUUAUCUCAUCUCCCAGAAGAUCAUUUUCUCCGAAGACACAUGUUUUCUUUAUGAAAGGAAAUAAGCAAAAUUAAAAAAGAAUUAUAUCAUGGAAAGAAUUAGCAUUGUGUUUGUGUUAAGCAGAAACAAAUAUUAACUUGGAUUGUUUGGGAAACCGAGCAUAUAUUAGGCAAGUUAUUCUGAGUAAAAAUGAAAAGAAAACUUUUAAAGGAAGGGCACUUAAAAC
This 622-nucleotide long non-coding RNA is filed under the name Vombatus ursinus (common wombat). RNAcentral's name for it is "lncRNA (ENSVURG00010017610.1)". Lineage: Eukaryota; Metazoa; Chordata; Mammalia; Diprotodontia; Vombatidae. The record is from RNAcentral.